AGUGAACGCUGGCGGUAGGCCUAACACAUGCAAGUCGAACGGCAGCACAGAGGAGCUUGCUCCUUGGGUGGCGAGUGGCGGACGGGUGAGGAAUACAUCGGAAUCUACUCUGUCGUGGGGGAUAACGUAGGGAAACUUACGCUAAUACCGCAUACGACCUACGGGUGAAAGCAGGGGAUCGUCGGACCUUGCGCGAUCGAAUGAGCCGAUGUCGGAUUAGCUAGUUGGCGGGGUAAAGGCCCACCACGGCGACGAUCCGUAGCUGGUCUGACAGGAUGAACAGCCAAACUGGAACUGGGACGCUGUCCGGACUCCUACGGGAGGCAGCAGUGGGGAAUAUUAGACAAGGGGCGCAGGCCUGAUCCAGCCAUACCGAGUGGGUGAAGAAGGCCUUCGGGUUGUAAAGCCCUUUUGUUGGGAAAGAAAUCCAUCUGGUUAAUACCCGGGUGGGAUGACGGUACCCAAAGAAUAAGCACCGGCUAACUUCGUGCCAGCCGCCGCGGUAA
RNAcentral lists this ribosomal RNA (506 nucleotides) under uncultured bacterium. RNAcentral describes it as "partial 16S ribosomal RNA". It matches the Rfam family "Bacterial small subunit ribosomal RNA", at positions 29 to 523 of the family's 1533-position model. The record is from RNAcentral.